GCGGAUGUGGUGGAACUGGCAAACACGCUAGACUUAGGAUCUAGUGGGGGGGUCAAAUUCCUUCAUCCGCACCA
This 74-nucleotide transfer RNA is filed under the name Thermoanaerobacterium sp. RBIITD. Its description in RNAcentral is "tRNA_Leu_TAG". It matches the Rfam family "tRNA". From Rfam's summary of the family: Transfer RNA (tRNA) molecules are approximately 80 nucleotides in length. The record is from RNAcentral. Lineage: Bacteria; Bacillati; Bacillota; Clostridia; Thermoanaerobacterales; Thermoanaerobacteraceae.